Long non-coding RNA from Ictalurus punctatus (channel catfish), 464 nucleotides. RefSeq lists it as uncharacterized. NCBI's taxonomy places the organism in Eukaryota, Metazoa, Chordata, Actinopteri, Siluriformes, Ictaluridae. The record is from RefSeq and is a predicted model, not a curated record. The transcript is spliced from 2 exons.
GUCAGGUGGAUAGAGAGAUGGACAGACAGACAGAUACAGAGACAGACAGAAAGCCAGGUGGAUAGAGAGAUGGACAGACAGACAGAUACAGAGACAGACAGAAAGCCAGGUGGAUAAAGAGAUGGACAGACAGACAGGUGGAUAAAGAGAUGGACAGACAGACAGGUGGAUAAAGAGAUGGACAGACAGACAGAGACAGACAGAAAGCCAAGUAGAUAAAGAGAUGGACAGACAGACAGACAGACAGAAAGCCAGGUAGAUAAAGAGAUGGACAGACAGACAGACAGGUAGAUAAAGAGAUGGACAGACAGACAGACAGACAGAAAGCCAGGUAGAUAAAGAGAUGGACAGACAGACAGAUACAGAGACAGACAGAAAGACAGGUAGAUAAAGAAAUGGACAGACAGACAGGUAGAUAAAGAGAUGGACAGACAGACAGAUACAGAGACCGACAGAAAGACAGG